Molecule: long non-coding RNA, 467 nt
Organism: Brassica rapa (field mustard)
Lineage: Eukaryota; Viridiplantae; Streptophyta; Magnoliopsida; Brassicales; Brassicaceae
Source: RefSeq, a predicted model, not a curated record
GAAUAUGACAGCUUCCUUGUUAUUCUAAUCAAACCAGGAUGAAUCGCGAUGUAAGAAGCUUUAUUUUUAUACAUAAAGUAAUGGAGAAUCAUUAGGAAGUUGAAUAAAUCUCAUAGGAGUUAGGAUGAAGAAGCUAUCCCACCUUCAAAUCAGGUGAUCCCAGUUUUCCUGUUUGGGAAUAUGACAGCUUCCUUGUCAUUCUAAUCAAACCAGAAUGAAUCGCGAUGGUAAGAAGCUGAUUUUAAUACAUAAGUUAUAAGAAUCACAAGGAGUUGAAUAAAUCUCAUAGGAGUUAGGAUGAAGAAGAUAUCCCACUUUCAAAUCAGGUGAUCCCAGUUUUCCUGUUUGGGAAUAUGACAGCUUCCUUGUCAUUCUAAUCAAACCAGGAUGAAUCGCGAUGUAAGAAGCUUGAUUUUGAUACAUAAAGUAAUGGAGAAUCACUAGGAAGUUGAAUAAAUCUCAUAGGA